Molecule: long non-coding RNA, 326 nt
Organism: Orbicella faveolata
Lineage: Eukaryota; Metazoa; Cnidaria; Anthozoa; Scleractinia; Merulinidae
Source: RefSeq, a predicted model, not a curated record
CUGAACGCGAGGGAGAUAUAUAAUGGUACUGGCUCAGGAAUUUCUGUCAGAAAAAAAGCUGAGAAAUCUCUGGAAGUUUACUGUUAACUGAGAUUCCAGCACGCCCCAUACAGACCCUCUAUACAGCUUUAACAUUGGGAAACAAAGGCGAACUGGAUUUUACAUGGAGCUGUGAAAGUACCAACAUUAAACUGUGAACAAAUCAAAGCCAUGGUCUCGAGCGCAAUGCCUCAGUUGAAACGAAGGAGAGCAGAAGGAGGAGAUGGGUGCUGUAAAGAACGGAAUAUUUCUUUGGGUUCUUCUUCAGAAUAGUCGUAAAAAAUUUC